RNAcentral lists this ribosomal RNA (691 nucleotides) under uncultured bacterium. Its description in RNAcentral is "bacterial SSU rRNA". It matches the Rfam family "Bacterial small subunit ribosomal RNA", at positions 32 to 715 of the family's 1533-position model. The record is from RNAcentral.
AACGCUAGCUACAGGCUUAACACAUGCAAGUCGAGGGGCAGCAUAAAAGUAGCAAUACUUUGGUGGCGACCGGCGCACGGGUGAGUAACGCGUAUGCAACCUACCUAUCAGAGGGGAAUAACCCGGCGAAAGUCGGACUAAUACCGCAUAAAACAGGGGCACCGCAUGGUGAUAUUUGUUAAAGAAAUUCGCUGAUAGAUGGGCAUGCGUUCCAUUAGGUAGUUGGUGAGGUAACGGCUCACCAAGCCGACGAUGGAUAGGGGAACUGAGAGGUUGGUCCCCCACACUGGUACUGAGACACGGUCCAAACUCCUACGGGAGGCAGCAGUGAGGAAUAUUGGUCAAUGGGCGCGAGCCUGAACCAGCCAAGUAGCGUGAAGGAUGAAGGUCCUACGGAUUGUAAACUUCUUUUAUAAGGGAAUAAAGUCACUUACGUGUGGGUGUUUGUAUGUACCUUAUGAAUAAGCAUCGGCUAACUCCGUGCCAGCAGCCGCGGUAAUACGGAGGAUGCGAGCGUUAUCCGGAUUUAUUGGGUUUAAAGGGAGCGUAGACGGGUCGUUAAGUCAGCUGUGAAAGUUUGAGGCUCAACCUUAAAAUUGCAGUUGAUACUGGCGUCCUUGAGUACGGUUGAGGCAGGCGGAAUUCGUGGUGUAGCGGUGAAAUGCAUAGAUAUCACGAAGAACUCCGAUUG